Oncorhynchus tshawytscha (Chinook salmon) is the source of this 1359-nucleotide long non-coding RNA. The record is from Ensembl. Lineage: Eukaryota; Metazoa; Chordata; Actinopteri; Salmoniformes; Salmonidae.
CCUCUGCUCACCAGGGUACCAAUAUAACAUGUCGACCUACCCCCCUCUGCUCACCAGGGUUCCAAUAUAACAUAUCAAACUACCCCUCCUCUGCUCAUCAGGGUUCGUUAAGCAAGAUUUGUUGGGUAAUUUUAAAUAGUUACACAGGUAAAGAAAUCAUAAUGUAAUAAAGUCAAUGGUUGACCAAUUAAGUGCUAUAUGUGAUCUCUAACAUAUUGGGACAAACAGACUAUGGCCAAGGCACAAGCAGCAGGCAGGCGGUUUCCCUGGUAAUGCUGAUGUUCCUUAGGGCUACAGGCUCGUCAGCUAAAGCUUGAACAGAAACAAUAAUAUCAACACAAUAACAUGUCUUUUGAAACAAGUUAAAAACAAACAAACAUGAUUAAGCAUGAACACAAUGCACUCCUUUUGAAGCUUAUCGUAUCAACAUGGACACUCAAUCAUACUCAAACUGCUGUAUUUGGGUUUAAAACAUUUUUUAAAAGCCUUUGCAACUUCCAAAAAAACAUGACCUCCUGUCUGUCUUUAAAGCUAGAGGUUCAGCCUUCCUGUUUGUUGGAAUGGAAACAGACAAAGAAAACAUGACCUCCUGUCUGUCUUUAAAGCUAGAGGUUCAGCCUUCUUGUUUGUUGGAAUGGAAACAGACAAAGAAAACAUGACCUCCUGUCUGUCUUUAAAGCUAGAGGUUCAGCCUUCCUGUUUGUUGGAAUGGAAACAGACAAAAAAGAAAACAUGACCUCCUGUCUGUCUUUAAAGCUAGAGGUUCAGCCUUCUUGUUUGUUGGAAUGGAAACAGACAAAGAAAACAUGACCUCCUGUCUGUCUUUAAAGCUAGAGGUUCAGCCUUCUUGUUUGUUGGAAUGGAAACAGACAAAGAAAACAUGACCUCCUGUCUGUCUUUAAAGCUAGAGGUUCAGCCUUCCUGUUUGUUGGAAUGGAAACAGACAAAGAAAACAUGAUGAGAAGUGCACAAGAAACUCACGUUGAGCUGACAGAAUGGCCAGGCUAGAGUGGGAGAGAAAAUGACUUUGAAAACUUAAACAGAUCCUGCUCAAACACAUGUUGUGUUGAUACAUUCACAUUGUCAUGUGGUGGGGAGAGUGAAGUCCUUUGUAUCGAUGAUGACAUUUCAUAUACGUAAACACAUCUCCUGUCCAUCUGAAUGGACCCUCAGCUGCAGCCACUAUGCCACUAACACACAGUCUGAACUAGGGCUGUGGCGGUCAUGACAUUUUGUCAGCCGGUGAUUGUCAAGCAAAUAACUGACGGACUCACGGUAAUUUACCGUUAAUUAACAUAAACAUACUUAGCAUCUCCUGGCUUCCACACAUAGUCUACAAGCCACUUAUGCAGAAUUUUG